CCGCUCUCAGGGCCACACCUGGAGAGUUUCCAGUACUCUGUCAGUCUCAGCUAUGGGAGGGAGAGUGGAGCAGAGGCCUACCCAUUCCAUUCCUAGCUUGGCCAGUGGAUAGUGAGUGGAAGGCAAUCUGCUACAAGU
This is a non-coding RNA of Ornithorhynchus anatinus (platypus), 138 nucleotides long. The record is from Rfam. NCBI's taxonomy places the organism in Eukaryota, Metazoa, Chordata, Mammalia, Monotremata, Ornithorhynchidae.